Long non-coding RNA from Aegilops tauschii subsp. strangulata, 3422 nucleotides. RefSeq lists it as uncharacterized. Lineage: Eukaryota; Viridiplantae; Streptophyta; Magnoliopsida; Poales; Poaceae. The record is from RefSeq and is a predicted model, not a curated record.
UGAUGCUAGGCAUCAGGAAUCAUAGCGAUGUCUGCAGUCUCGGUUUGCCCUCUGUUCUGCAACAUGCAAAUUUGGACUGCUCCUCUUCAUCUCCCAGUGCUGGUCCACUGGUUCUCUGGUUUUAUGAAAAGAUGUCACCGGAAGCGUCAUGGUUAUUUCUGAAGCUCACCAUUUUCUUGGCUUUCAUGGGGUUUGAUGUAAAUCUGGAAAUGGCUAUAUGGCAACAUCUGUUUGCCAAAAAAUGAAUUAUUUGCGGCUUGGGGAGGAGUGCCGUGUUUACGAGGUAAAAGGCUGAAGUGAAAGCGCCGCUGGGACUGCUACCGGUGCAUGGAACUUCCAUGGCAGCACGGGCGAUUCCAAGGCCCACUUGAGCUCCUCCUGCUGAUGUCAGACUGUGAGUUCUUACCGGAAAUACACAUAUUUUGAUCCUUUUCUCACAUUUGAUGCCACUUUCAGACUAAGAUGUAGCAGAACACAUGUUCGUAAUUGAUACACCUAGGCUCAGCUUCUCUAUAUUGAUAUGAAGGCGUGGAGCGUGUUUCUUUUGUUUUCAACUCGAGGCGACCAGAGAGCUUGGCUGCGCAAGAGGUGUUGUCUUCUACCACGAAACUCCGGGCAACAAGAACUUCACGAAGAAAAGGACACCUAGGUUUUGGCACGAACUAUUUUGUGCCGGUGUGAAGUGGGGUCUGUAUGCGGACAUCGAGUCAUUCCUCAGAUUUGGUACGAAGCACAUGACAUGUAACUUCAAGAAGACGAACUAUGAAGAGGCGGGUCGCCCUCUGACUGUGUCGGUAAAGAAGGCCAUUCUGCAGGCCAGUCUCGCAAUUAAUAAGGACAUACUUUUAGCAGGUCAUGCUGGGAAUUAAUAAAGUUAUGCUUGUUGAAAGUGAGAGCUCGGUGUCGUGUCCGCCGGCUGAGCGGCAAGCUGGAGCUGCAGGUCGCUGAACAAGGUGGUCUUACUGUGAGGAUCUCAUCUCUCACUCUAUGUGUGUAUCUCUUAGCCCCGUUCCCGUUUAUGGUAAUCAUUCAUGCAUGUAGGGAUCACUAAGAUUUUUCUUGGUUUUGUAGUUGUGGAUUGCUGUGAUUGUUACUGCAAUAGUGGAUCAUAUAUAUACACUUGGCAACUCAGUUUAGGAUAUCGCUUGGUAAAUGUUGAUUGUUACUGCAAUGGUGGAUCAUAUAUAUACACUUGGCAACUCUGUUUAGGAUAUCGCUGGUAAAUGGUGAUUGUUACUGCAAUAGUGGAUCAUAUAUAUACACCAUAUAUAUACUAAUUGUUGAUUGUUUCUUCCAUUUGGUGGCAACCUUGCUGUUCCGUGCACUAUUGGCUGUUGUUUUUACUGUUCGGUUCAUGAGGGUAAAGCACGCUAUGCAUUAUUCACUCUUAAUUGUUUUCUGUUCAUCCAUGUUAUUCUUUGUUCAUCAUAUGUACCUCUGUUUGAGGCUGUCGCGGCCUACUGUCGAUUGCCAUUUCAUUUUUACCUUCGAGAGGUGGUUGCUGAUGGUUCUGUCAUUGGAGGAGUUGAGAUAGAUGAUUUUGUUAGUAAUCGCGUUGUCCGGUCUAGGACACGAUUUAUCUGGGAAGAAACUUUGGACGGGGGUUGUUCUUUGUUUGAUCAAGCCGUUUUCAGGCGGUGCGCUUCUUACAUGGACUGUACGGAUUUGUCGUUGUAGACUACAACUACGAGAGCAUGUUAGCUUAUAGGGAUGUUGCCCAGUCGGCUACGAUGGUUGCGAGUGCGCUUGCCCGCUCCGCCUGGCAUGCGGUGGAUGCCGGUUGACAGGGAAGUGUCGAAGGCAUCAAUGUGAGUGCUCCUCUGCAAUUACUUUAUUCAGAGUUAGUCAACUUUGCGUGUAAGUUCUUGGUCCCUUCUAGACCUGUCUUAGAUAAGGUGUGUCCAAGUCAUUGCACUAUGCCUCUGGGCGCCUCUUGUUAUAAACACUUGCGCCUGUUAAUGGAUGCUUGCUAAUUUAUUUCAUUCUGGUAUGACCAGAGCUCCUGUUUUUUGUGCCCAUUGUCUUUCUUAGGGAUUCUAAAGCCACAAGGAUGCAAAAUCAAUCAGAUGAUCAUUUUAUUCACACUGACGAUGAUAAUUCCUUCUAAACUAUAAGAUCCAUGUCUAUCUUCAUGAGCGAGCUAUCUUAACUCCAACCAUUUAUGUGGCUGUCAAAGUCAAUAUUUUUAUCCUGUCAUUGGUACUCUGCAUAGACGAGAGUAUUUGAGUUGUCAUUCAAUGGCUAAGUCCGAUGAUGAUGUUAAAAGAAAGCACUGUGUUACAUCCACCUGAGUUCUGAAUGCUAUUUCUAUAAUCAAUUUUCUUGAACAUAAAAUAUUCUUAUCAUCAGAGAGCUUGCCGAUUGUACAUUCAAGCUAUUAUUAUGAUGUGUUCUCCUAUAGGAGAGGUUGUUUGCAUACCAGAUAUAAUUGAUGCUUUAGAAAACCAAAUGGUCUUUCACUUUGAAAAGACGACAAUUUCCUGUCCGACUAUGUUAUUCCAUGACAAUAAAUAUGAACCAGGGCUAGACAUUGUCCUUUGUUGGAAUUUAUAUCUAAAAUAUCAUGUUCUAUCCAUGGACAGUUGUAUGUUGUAGUGUCGCUGGUCAUAUCGAAAAAAUCCCUAAAAUUACUUAUGAAAGAUAAAGAUGGAAAAUGUAUGGAGACUCAGAACAUUUUCCCCCAAGGUUUAUGCCUCAACUACCCCCUUUUAAGUUUAUCGACAUGGCCCUAUAAUAAUUAGUAGUAGCCUGCGUUGUAUUCUCUUUAACAGUAUAUCCUCAGAUCCAUAAUUUCUUUUUUUUUCUUUUCUCUUUGGCUACUGAAUUUUAUUGCUAUUCUUCUGCACAUAUAUGUGAUGUGGUAAAUUCUUUCUAUUCAUGUUUUAAUAAAUUAUUUUAGGAUAGUUCUUGUUUUAUUGUUAUUCUCUAUGAUCAUUAGAUUUCCAUUGUGCAUUGCUAUCCUCUGUCAUUAGAUAGUGUCUUGUAGCCUGUUUUCCUGAUGUUUAUUUGAAUAUGUUUUCUUUUAUCCACAGAUGAAGCCCAUCCAUUUGUCCGUUCUUCGUCAGGGUCACAGAGUCUUUGUGCCAGGAUUCUUCCCUUUGUAAAUAUGAAAGCGGCUUGUACGAUCUACUCACAGACUUGCUCUGCUGCUUUGUAGCCCAACUGAUUAUGUACUCUUGAUCGUCCUCAUGGCAUCUGUCAACUCCAUUGUGAAUUAUCUCUUUAUCUUAAGGCUGUACUCGCUAUGCUAGAAUGAUAGAUGAUAUAAGUAAAUACAUCUUUUCUUUUUACAAGGUUCAGAUCAUAAGGUAUCAUGUCCUGUGAACCAAGUUCAGUACGUUGUCUAUUAAAUAUAUUCUUGUUUCUUGUUCAGAAUGUGAUGCUCCAGUUCAGAUAAUGAGUAGUGCAUAUUUUGGCUGAUA